GGGUUUACCCAUUGGUCAGGCUUAAUUGUCUGUACUGGUGAGAUAAAUCUCUACCUUCUGAGGAACUUUCAUGUCAUUAAUUUGGUGUGAUUGGAAAUCAGGACUGUUACUUUGAAAAAAUUAGAGUGUUUAAAGCAGGCCUACGCUUGAAUACAUUAGCAUGGAAUAAUAGAAUAGGAC
RNAcentral lists this ribosomal RNA (180 nucleotides) under uncultured Glomeromycotina. RNAcentral describes it as "partial small subunit ribosomal RNA". The stretch from base 44 to 180 matches the Rfam family "Eukaryotic small subunit ribosomal RNA", at positions 689 to 828 of the family's 1831-position model. Lineage: Eukaryota; Fungi; Glomeromycota. The record is from RNAcentral.